Molecule: ribosomal RNA, 253 nt
Filed under: uncultured bacterium
Lineage: Bacteria
Description: partial 16S ribosomal RNA
Rfam family: Bacterial small subunit ribosomal RNA
Source: RNAcentral
UACAGAGGCCUCAAGCGUUGUUCGGAUUCAUUGGGCGUAAAGGGUGCGUAGGUGGCGGUGUAAGUUCGGUGUGAAAUUUCAGGGCUCAACCUUGAAACUGCAUUGAAUACUGCAUUGCUAGAGGAUUGUAGAGGAGAGUGGAAUUCACGGUGUAGCAGUGAAAUGCGUAGAUAUCGUGAGGAAGACCAGUUGCGAAGGCGGCUCUCUGGACCAACACUGACACUGAGGCACGAAAGCGUGGGGAGCAAACAGG